This is a non-coding RNA of Schistosoma mattheei, 46 nucleotides long. The record is from Rfam. NCBI's taxonomy places the organism in Eukaryota, Metazoa, Platyhelminthes, Trematoda, Strigeidida, Schistosomatidae.
GCAUUGCUGAGGCGUCCCAUACUAGGACGAAACGGCCGUCCAGUGC